Molecule: non-coding RNA, 148 nt
Filed under: Pan troglodytes (chimpanzee)
Lineage: Eukaryota; Metazoa; Chordata; Mammalia; Primates; Hominidae
Source: Rfam by way of RNAcentral
GCUGGGCAUGGUGGCGGGUGCCUGUAAUCCCAGCUACUUGGGAGGCUGAGGCAGGAGAAUUGCUUGAAUCCGGGGGGCGGAGGUUGCAGUGAGCCGAGAUUAUGCCACUGCACUCUAACCUGGGCAACAGAGCAAGACUCUGUCUCAA